This 441-nucleotide ribosomal RNA is filed under the name uncultured Sphingobacteriales bacterium. Its description in RNAcentral is "bacterial SSU rRNA". It matches the Rfam family "Bacterial small subunit ribosomal RNA", at positions 938 to 1382 of the family's 1533-position model. Lineage: Bacteria; Pseudomonadati; Bacteroidota; Sphingobacteriia; Sphingobacteriales. The record is from RNAcentral.
CAUGUGGUUUAAUUCGAUGAUACGCGAGGAACCUUACCUGGGCUCAAAUGUAUGUUGACGUAUUCUGAAAGGGAUACUUCUUCGGACAAUAUACAAGGUGCUGCAUGGUUGUCGUCAGCUCGUGCCGUGAGGUGUCGGGUUAAGUCCCAUAACGAGCGCAACCCCUAUCAUUAGUUGCCAUCAGGUCAAGCUGGGGACUCUAAUGAAACUGCCUACGCAAGUAGUGAGGAAGGUGGGGAUGACGUCAAAUCAGCACGGCCCUUACGUCCAGGGCUACACACGUGCUACAAUGGCCGGUACAAAGGGCAGCUACCUGGUGACAGGAUGCUAAUCUCAAAAGCCGGUCUCAGUUCGGAUCGGAGUCUGCAACUCGAGUGCAUGAAGUUGGAAUCGCUAGUAAUCGCGGAUCAGCAUGCCGCGGUGAAUACGUUCCCGGGCCUU